UGCAACAAGUUGCAAAAAGAGGAUUUUUUCAGCACGAGUCGUACAUUUAUCCAACGAGGUUCACCGAGUUGGAUAAAUACGACGAGUGCUGAAAAAAUCAAGUUUUGCAACGAGUUCCAUACAACAUUUUUUGCAAUUUCGAAAAACACCCAUUGAGUGAAAUUUUAAGUCGAAUUUUCAUGUAUUUUGUCAAUAAAUCGUUUAAAUCAAAAAAAUGUUGAAAAGUGUUACUUUUCGAAACAAGUGCUGAAAAGUGUUGCUAUUCGAUUCUGUUAUUUUUGGUACAGAAAAGUAGGCUAUUUCGUCGUUCAAGAAUGACAGGAAAAGUAAGUAGUUUCACGACGGAAUUGCAAAAAGUACAUUUCAGUACUGUUUUUGGCGAUGAAAAGUAGGCCAUUUCGUCAACGGAAUUGCAAAACCAAAUUUUAAUUCCCCAGCAUACAAUACCCUUCCAAAGAGUAUUGAAAAUAGAGCGCGGACUCGGUACAAAUUUCCAUUUUUUUUCAUGGUACCAACCAAAAGUACAACCGUAACGCCUUCGAUGAGGCGUUACCAUUUUCAGGCGUUACUAAAGUGGAAGGAGAUUUUUUUUCCCAUCAUAGCAAUCUCCUCCAAACAAGCAGUGACAGUUUUAAAAUAAACAAACCCCGACCGUGGAGAAUAAAUCGCGAUCUGCUAAAAAUCCAGAUCUGUACGGCAAAAGAAAAUGGACGCUGAGGCGCUUCUUAUGAUGAUGACGGGCAGAUUCGUGGGAAGCAACUCGGCCGUGUCGUCAGAUUGUAGCACCAGCAGCAGUAGCACAACGGCGAGCAACACUACCUGCAACUUGGGCCACUUGCAGGCUGCAUGUGGCCUACGCUUAAGCAAAGGAAAUCCGCAUAAAGCUUAGCAGUUUGGACUAGGCUCGCCGUACAUAUUCAAGUCCGGCAUCUAAUGACCUGCGGAAUCAACUAAUGUCCUGCGGAAUCAACUCACCACCCUUACCACAACCCUGUCCGUAACGUUCGCUGGCCUCAACGCAGGUUCACGGAUGGUCGGCCAGAACAAUACAUUGUUUCGGAACGGCGGGAAUCGACGAUGAUAUCCGUGGUAUUGAACGACUACCGCUGCUGCUAACUCAAAGAAUGGUUCUUUUACACAAAAUGUCAAUUAUUUAAAAAAAAUGCUCUAAUAAAGGAAUAAAAUUGUCAAAAAAGUUUUUUAUAAGACUUUUUUUGGUGCCAAAAUUAGCUUGUGACUCUUAAUGACUCCAUUUUGCAUUGAAUCUGCACACGGCCCCAAGAAUUGCUUCCCUGCCGAUCUCGCGCACUUUGUUUACGGCCCGAGAAGUUUUCUACGAUACGUUACAGUUAGUUUUAAUCUGUAUUAUUGUAGUUCAGAACUCCGUAGGCUAUAAAACCCAACCGGACCUUAGUUAAACUCUAUUAGUAAUAAAUCGCCACUUAUGGCAAGUGAACCGUGGUCGCACGACUUGAUCGUUAUUCACCGUCUGGAAGAGUUUCGCUUCCAAUUCCCAUACAGUCUACUGGCCUUUUUCCUUGUGUGGACUGGGCUACGAAGAGACCUUAACCAGUUAUCCAAAAUAUUCGCAUACACCUGUAAGGUUGAACUAGAAAAAAAGAGCUGAAGGUCGGUUCGCAUGAUUGACAAAAAACACGAUUUGACAGUUUAUUUUUCUAAAAGAUGAAAAUAUUUGACAGCAGAAAAUGUCACCAAAACAGUAACGCCUAAAGUCCAUUGAACAAAAACUUGUCACGCUUGAUUGCUGAGAUUAUGCUGAAGGGCUGUGUACCUGUGUACCGCGUUACGGGGUCAAAAAUAAAUCGCCAGUGUACCCUCUCAUUUCCCUUCUCUCUGACCCUUCCCCAAAUGAUUUCUUUCAGAAGCUGAUAAUCAAAAUCCACACACGACAACACACACACUUUGUAUGAAUAAUUUAACUGUAUUUUUUCUCGAAAUAAUUUAAAUUACACAUGGGUUUUUUUAGUGUUGUUCUUACUGUUGUUGUUGUUGGUUUUUUUGCUUGAUUUACAGUAUUAAAAUUACAGUUUUCUUAGCUGUUUAAAAAUAUUGUUUUGUUUUUUUUUGCUGGACAAACGAAAACGGGCGGGAAAAAAAUCCUUUCCACUGUAUUAAUUUAAGACGCUUCUUUUUUCUGGUUUAACGUUUAGUAAGUUUUGCUUGGUUUACUUUUUUGUUUCUUUUUUUUGCUGGGUUUCCACUAUGUCGAUUAGUUAUUACAUUCACUUGUUUUUUUUGUUUUGUUUGCUAACGCGUGAUUGUUCGCUCACUCUCCCUAAUCAAGUUGCGUCUAACCGUUUGAUUUUCUACAAUAAGUAUUAUUGUAGCUAGUUUGUAUGUUUGUUGUUGUUGUUUUUUUAGCUUAAAGUUCUAAUUUCAAUGUUGAGUGAUUUUCUCAGGAGUCUUGUCGCGCCGGUUUUCCCAAACACAAACA
This is a long non-coding RNA of Culex pipiens pallens (northern house mosquito), 2455 nucleotides long. RefSeq lists it as uncharacterized. The record is from RefSeq and is a predicted model, not a curated record. NCBI's taxonomy places the organism in Eukaryota, Metazoa, Arthropoda, Insecta, Diptera, Culicidae. The transcript has 2 exons.